GAAUCAAGGGAUUGUAAUAUCUAUCGUUUAUGAAUGUAUCUCAAACACUAAAUGUAAAAGGGGCUCCGCUAUAAAUAGAGAAUCCCCCACUCUCAUGUACACACAGACCGGAACUAUUGAAUAAUAACAUCCUUACUCUUGGCUUAAACUUUUAUGUUGUUCUUUUGUUAGCAUUUCUUCAAGCACUUCUUGUGUCUUUUCGUUUUGCAGCAUAUUAGGUGGCCAAACCCCACAAUCUAGAAUGUUGGUGCACCGCGGAAGAGUUCAUCCCUAUAUUUUGGAUCCAC
RNAcentral lists this long non-coding RNA (287 nucleotides) under Durio zibethinus. RNAcentral's name for it is "long non-coding RNA (DZIB_LNC000879)". The record is from RNAcentral. Lineage: Eukaryota; Viridiplantae; Streptophyta; Magnoliopsida; Malvales; Malvaceae.